RNAcentral lists this ribosomal RNA (271 nucleotides) under uncultured bacterium. RNAcentral's name for it is "partial 16S ribosomal RNA". It matches the Rfam family "Bacterial small subunit ribosomal RNA", at positions 524 to 794 of the family's 1533-position model. The record is from RNAcentral.
UACGAAGGGGGCUAGCGUUGUUCGGAAUCACUGGGCGUAAAGGGCGCGUAGGCGGCCAUUCAAGUCGGGGGUGAAAGCCUGUGGCUUAACCACAGAAUUGCCUUCGAUAAUGUUUGGCUUGAGACCGGAAGAGGUAAGUGGAACUGCGAGUGUAGAGGUGAAAUUCGUAGAUAUUCGCAAGAACACCAGUGGCGAAGGCGGCUUACUGGUCCGGUUCUGACGCUGAGGCGCGAAAGCGUGGGGAGCAAACAGGAUUAGAAACCCUAGUAGU